Alligator mississippiensis (American alligator) is the source of this 1305-nucleotide long non-coding RNA. RefSeq lists it as uncharacterized. The record is from RefSeq and is a predicted model, not a curated record. Lineage: Eukaryota; Metazoa; Chordata; Crocodylia; Alligatoridae. The transcript has 4 exons.
GUGUUUAAGAGACAGAGUAUAGAUCAAAAGUGUACUCUGUACUGCUCCCAUUUCUCUCAUUAGGCAACCCCAUACAAAGUCCAAAGUUCAAUACCAAGGCAGGUCUCAAAUGCAGAAAUGGAUGGUUAGCUCUUGCUUCUUUUAAUUAAUAUGAAAACUGUUCCUACACUAUAUUCUGAGCAUUCGUGUCCAGGCUAUAUACAGCAGCGGGAAGGAGAGGAGGCAGCACACGUGUGCCCUUUUUACCAACCAAAUAACCGGAGGCAGCGGCGGCAGCAGCAACAGAGGAAUCGGCAGCGGGGGCAGCAGCAGCUGAUCCCCCGAAGGUAAGUGGGGCGGAGGGACCCGGCACAGCUGAGCCGGAUCCGGAGGGGAAGCCCCCCGGGUCCCAUAUAGCUGAGCCGGUAGGGAGCCGCGCUCCCGAGCCGCGCGGCGCGAACAGAGCGCGCAAACAGGCACACUCUGUAAGAGCACGCCGGCGUUUGCACAGGCGUUCACGCCGGAGGGCGGGCCAGGAGGGCCAGGAGUGGGAGUCCUGUAGGGGUAGGGCGUAGACACCGCGCAGGUCUACAAACAGCAGCCCGUAGAAUGGUGUCUAUGAGGAGUGCUGCUAGGGCCUCUGCCCAGGGGGACAAGGCUACCCGGGGCAGGUCUGAGGCCUCCACCCAGACCGAGCCCAUGGGGGAGCUGGUGUCCCCCUACCUCCUGGCCUGUGGGGGAUCCCCAGCAGGGCCGGGGGGGGCAGAGAUUGGGGGCCCCCACACCUGUCCGGCAGGUGCCCGUCUUAGGGCUCUGGAGGCACAGGUGAGGGAGCUCUGGGAGGAGGUUAGCAGGCUGAGGGGGAUCAGGGAGGCGGAGGACGAAAUUGAUAGUUAUUUCCUUUCCCUGCAGGCCCAGGCACCAAAGGAAGAAGCACCCUGGGGAAUACCCUCCACAGCAGAGUGGCAGACGGUCACAGCCAGGACCGGAGCGGCACACAGCAAACCAGUACCAGCUUCUCCAGUCCGACUGGUGAACAGAUCAAGAGAUCCACGAGGACCCAGAGGAGGAGGUGACGAGUGCUCGUCAUAGGCGACUCCAUCCUGAGAGGUACGGAAGGACCCAUCUGUCGCCAGGACCCCUCGGCACGAGAGUGACCGGACGAGGAAGACGGCAGGAGAACUGCAUCAGAGAGACCAAUUGGUGGCUUCGGCAGUGGUGUCUCGAGGCAGGCUUCGGCUUCCUGGACAAUGACCCGCACGUCACGACGAGGGACAUGCUCAGCUGGGAUGGGCUUCACCUGUCCCCCAAAGGUAAGCGUGUGUU